This is a long non-coding RNA of Eucalyptus grandis, 413 nucleotides long. RefSeq lists it as uncharacterized. NCBI's taxonomy places the organism in Eukaryota, Viridiplantae, Streptophyta, Magnoliopsida, Myrtales, Myrtaceae. The transcript has 2 exons. The record is from RefSeq and is a predicted model, not a curated record.
UCGGGUAUCUGGGUUUGGAGGAUGGUUCCUUCUGAGGCUCUCGCUUUAUGAUCCUGUUCUUCCUCUUAACAUUGAGGAGUUUGCAGCUUUGGAUACAUCCGCUUUAGACAAGUUUGUUCAAGUAUCAUGAGCCGAUGAUGCAGAGCGCUUUGGUACAAGUAUCUUUCGGCACAUUAGACUAGCAGUUAAAGUUGGCUUUGGCGUCUACCUCUGUACAGUACGUAUAAUCAGUGCGUCAAUCUCUGAUGCUGAGGAGGUUCAUUUUCCAGAUGGUUUUGGUCACAGGCACUCAAAAUAGUACUUGAUGGCUAUGUUUACUUUAGUUUUUACUUAUGUUCCAUGUAUGCAACAGGGAUGUUCUGAUAAAUAAGAAACGUUCUUCGACUACAGAAUUUGUCGGAGGGAUGUUUGAA